UACGUAGGGGGCAAGCGUUGUCCGGAUUUAUUGGGCGUAAAGAGCGUGUAGGCGGCUGGGUAGGUCCGCUGUGAAAACUCGAGGCUUAACCUCGAGACGUCGGUGGAAACCAUCCAGCUAGAGUCCGGAAGAGGAGAGUGGAAUUCCUGGUGUAGCGGUGAAAUGCGCAGAUAUCAGGAAGAACACCCGUGGCGAAAGCGGCUCUCUGGGACGGUACUGACGCUGAGACGCGAAAGCGUGGGGAGCAAACAGG
RNAcentral lists this ribosomal RNA (253 nucleotides) under uncultured bacterium. RNAcentral's name for it is "partial 16S ribosomal RNA". It matches the Rfam family "Bacterial small subunit ribosomal RNA", at positions 524 to 776 of the family's 1533-position model. The record is from RNAcentral.